CCUACAUAAGAUUAAAUGCAUGGGUUCCCUCACUCGAUCAAGCGCUUCGGCUCUCAUCCCAGUACAUUUUCGAAAACCCUAGCAGAGUAAAAACCAGUCUCGGAUUGCUGGAUUCUCCUUUCAUUUAUGCAAAUCUUCAAAUGGAAAAUGCUCAACGCCUCUCCAUCCAUCGUGCUUCUAUAGUAACUGUCUUCGAAUGCAAGCCUCGGAUCUCCUUCUUUCAUCUUCUCUUAGGGUUUCUCAAACCGCAGCUCGAUCUAUCUUGAUUGAUUCUUUGUUCUCGCCUGAGGAUGUCGAGAUCGGGUCCCGGCCGUCGGAUUUCUUCCAGUUCAUUACUUCGGAGCAGGUGAAGGUCAUCUCGAUACUUGGGCUGGCACUGGCGCUCUAUAACACGGAUUGGGUGGUGAUGUUGAUGGCGAUCGUUCCUCUGUUGCCUGUGUCGUUCAGAGGAAUUCAGGUCAACAGAGCACUCUGACAUUCGGGCAUUCAACUAUGUAUUGGAAGAAUGCCUAAGGCCAUUUGGGACGACCUGAUAGAAAGAUUCAAGGCAAAGCUAGCCAUGUGGAACAACAGAACACCAUGAAUGGGGUGAGUUGGUGAAGGCAAUCCUUGCAAAUGUACUUGUGUACAUGAGGUCAUUUUUUUUUUUUUGGAAACGUACCUAAUGCAUCAUUUAAACACCGAUAUUUGAUUGUGGCCAAGUUGGGUUAAUUUCAAAAGGAAUUUUUUUGAAAUGAUAAGUUAGUCUGUCAUAAAUAACAUUCACUUUGUUAGAAAGAGGGUGUAAAUCCAAGAAGAAUGGUGGUCCUCAGAAUAGGUCAAUUAAACAGGUCAAUCGGGCUCUUUUAAGUGGUAGUGGAGGAUUGGGGGACAAAUAAAGUGCAUUAUGGUAGAUUAUUCUCAUAGAGAAAUAUGGGCGACAGAGAAUGGCUUGUCAGUUUAAUUUAGUAACUAUAGAAUGGGAUCUGCCAUCUGGAGGGCUAUAUGGCCAGUUGAGGGGCAGGUAUAUCAGGUAUAGAAUUGGAAUAUGCAAUUUAAUGUAGUAACUGCUUCACGGGUGCUUGAUGUGCCUAGCACAAGAAGAGAACGAAUUUCACCGAUUACUGCCCUGCGGAUUUGCAGGGGACAUUUGAGUGGCAGUUUUGUAACGUUUUGGCCUUGCAUGGAUUAUUCCAGGAUCAAUGCAGGUGUUUUUCUCCAGUUGGUGGAAUAUCAAUUUCUCCUAUUGACCUCCCCUUCAGAAAAUCACAAUUCAAACAACUUUAUGGAGUUUAUGGUUGGAAAGAAGUAGGAUAAUUUUUCAUGGGAAAGCUAUAAAUGUAGAAGAGGUAUCUGACAGAAUGUUUACUUGUACAAUGGAUCGGAAUAAAGCCAACAGGAAGCUGCAUGGGAUAUCGAAGCACAUGCUCAAAAUUGGAGUGAAGCCAACAAGAAGAAGAAAAGAAAAUGAAAAGGAGAAAAAAAGAAAGAAAGAAAGA
This is a long non-coding RNA of Magnolia sinica, 1478 nucleotides long. RefSeq lists it as uncharacterized. The record is from RefSeq and is a predicted model, not a curated record. The transcript is spliced from 2 exons. Lineage: Eukaryota; Viridiplantae; Streptophyta; Magnoliopsida; Magnoliales; Magnoliaceae.